This 160-nucleotide microRNA precursor is filed under the name Oryza nivara. RNAcentral's name for it is "MIR812 microRNA precursor family". It matches the Rfam family "MIR812 microRNA precursor family". The record is from Rfam by way of RNAcentral. Lineage: Eukaryota; Viridiplantae; Streptophyta; Magnoliopsida; Poales; Poaceae.
UUUAAGUACAACCAUGAGUUUUUCGUCUAACUUUGUAGUAAUUUUUUUUAUUAGAUGAUAAAACAUGAACAGUACUUUACUCGUGACUUAUGUUUUUAAUUUUUUUUUCAAAUAAGACGACGAUCAAAGUUGAACGCGGAAAAUCAUGUUUGCACUUAAA